ACGCUCGACACCUACGGGAGGAGCAGUGGGGAAUAUUGCACAAUGGGGGAAACCCUGAUGCAGCAACGCCGCGUGAAGGAAGACGGUUUUCGGAUUGUAAACUUCUGUUCUUAGUGAAGAUAGUGACGGUAGCUAAGGAGCAAGCCACGGCUAACUACGUGCAGCAGCCGCGGUAAUCUGAGCGGGCUGGCAAGGC
RNAcentral lists this ribosomal RNA (196 nucleotides) under uncultured bacterium. RNAcentral's name for it is "partial 16S ribosomal RNA". It matches the Rfam family "Bacterial small subunit ribosomal RNA", at positions 328 to 539 of the family's 1533-position model. The record is from RNAcentral.